Molecule: ribosomal RNA, 219 nt
Filed under: uncultured bacterium
Lineage: Bacteria
Description: partial 16S ribosomal RNA
Rfam family: Bacterial small subunit ribosomal RNA
Source: RNAcentral
CGAAAACGUACGUCUCAGUUCGGAUUGGAGUCUGCAACUCGACUCCAUGAAGCUGGAUUCGCUAGUAAUCGCGCAUCAGCCAUGGCGCGGUGAAUACGUUCCCGGGCCUUGUACACACCGCCCGUCAAGCCAUGGAAGCCGGGGGUGCCUGAAGUGCGUGACCGCAAGGAGCGCCCUAAGGUAAAACCGGUGACUGGGGCUAAGUCGUAACAAGGUAGC